CCCAUCUUGUCGGAGUGCCGACCGUCGAACGACGCGAGGCUGAGACCGUUUAUUCGGGAUCCGUGGAACCUGAUCAGGUUAAUACCUGCGAAGGGAACAAGGGUAACCAGUGG
Molecule: non-coding RNA, 113 nt
Organism: Aeromonas sp.
Lineage: Bacteria; Pseudomonadati; Pseudomonadota; Gammaproteobacteria; Aeromonadales; Aeromonadaceae
Source: Rfam